Molecule: unclassified non-coding RNA, 384 nt
Filed under: Hevea brasiliensis (rubber tree)
Lineage: Eukaryota; Viridiplantae; Streptophyta; Magnoliopsida; Malpighiales; Euphorbiaceae
Source: RNAcentral
CAGUCGGUAGUCAAAUUGUAGCUGAUUUUCUGGCAAAUUUCAUUUUUCUUCUUCUCUUGUUUUAACAGAUGUCCUUUUUAUUCAUGAGUUUAAAUUCAACCUUAUAUCUGUUAUCAAAAAAAAAAAAAAAAAAAAAAACUACUGUUCAAGCUUUACCACUUACAAAAUCAGCUACAAUUUGACUACCGACUGAUAAUUUUACAGUAAUUGGUUUAAUCAUUUUGUAAGUGGUAAAGCUUGAACAGUAGAUUUUUCAUUGGAAUCAAAACCUCCAGAAUCUUCAGUCUGAUCAGAAUCUCCUUCAGAGUCUUCUUUAUAUCCAGUAAUACAUGUUUCAUGCCAUACGCCUUCUCGAUACCCAAAAGUUUGUCAUGAACUUAUGCC